This is a long non-coding RNA of Gossypium raimondii (Peruvian cotton), 741 nucleotides long. RefSeq lists it as uncharacterized. The record is from RefSeq and is a predicted model, not a curated record. Lineage: Eukaryota; Viridiplantae; Streptophyta; Magnoliopsida; Malvales; Malvaceae. The transcript has 2 exons.
AACCCUAAGCCUAAACAGCGCCGUUUUAGGGGGGUUAUUUAAACCCAAAAUUUUUACAAAAAUUCAUUUUUUCUAGUUAAAGUAAAAAAAAAACUCAAAAUCAUUCUCUUUUUUUCUCUGUUUCAAAAACGCUUCCCCUCCCCUUUUGAACCCGGCCACGGCGUCGGUGAGCUCGCACGAAGGCUUCGCCGUAGCCUCGUCGCGGCUUCGCCUUGCCGGAGAAUAAAAAGAAAAGAGGGGCUGCCCCCUUUUGCCCGUCUCUCCUCUGGCUUGGCCUAAACGAAACCCCGGAGGAUUUCUAUGGCUCCGUCGCAGAAGGGGUCAUCGACGGUGGCGCCGCAAGUGAAAGGUGGAGCAGGUGCAAGUGGGGGUGGCCGACGUGACGUUGGCGGUGGCGGCGUGACGUUGGCGGCAGUGGCAGGGCGCCAAAAGGUCAAUAGGUGCGGCGCCUAAGGUUUCAGUCUAGGCAGAUUUUGUUGUGAAAUUGGGCCUGGGCAUUGGGCCUCACCUUUGGGCUGCUGGGUUAAAUUUGUUGGGCUGUAUUUGGUUUAAUUGAGUUGGGUAGGUUUAGGUGGGGUUUUUGGGUUGUAUUGGGUAGAGGGUUUUGCUGGUAUGGGCCCGGGUCAACUUUUGGGUAGUGGGAUUGGGGCAAAAUUGGGCUGUACAAUGAUAAAAUUAAAAUUCGAUAUUGUUUUUUAAUUUCGAGUUUAAAUCUAAAUUAUAUAUAAUUUUUAAUCUAAA